Molecule: ribosomal RNA, 253 nt
Filed under: uncultured bacterium
Lineage: Bacteria
Description: partial 16S ribosomal RNA
Rfam family: Bacterial small subunit ribosomal RNA
Source: RNAcentral
UACGAGGGGGGCAAGCGUUGUUCGGAAUUAUUGGGCGUAAAGGGUGCGUAGGCGGUUUGGUAAGUCUCUUGUGAAAUCUAUGGGCUCAACUCAUAGUCUGCAAGGGAAACUGCCGGGCUUGAGUGUGGGAGAGGUGAGUGGAAUUUCCGGUGUAGCGGUGAAAUGCGUAGAUAUCGGAAGGAACACCUGUGGCGAAAGCGGCUCACUGGACCACAACUGACGCUGAUGCACGAAAGCUAGGGGAGCAAACAGG